This 274-nucleotide ribosomal RNA is filed under the name uncultured bacterium. RNAcentral's name for it is "partial 16S ribosomal RNA". It matches the Rfam family "Bacterial small subunit ribosomal RNA", at positions 523 to 796 of the family's 1533-position model. The record is from RNAcentral.
AGACGGAAGAGGCGAGCGUUGUUCGGAAUCACUGGGCUUAAAGCGCGUGUAGGCGGCCUCGCAAGUACCUUGAGAAAUCCCCCGGCUCAACCGAGGAAUGGCAGGGUAUACUGCGGGGCUUGAGGCAGGUAGAGGUGCCUGGAACUCUAGGUGGAGCGGUGAAAUGCGUAGAUAUCUAGAGGAACGCCCGUGGCGAAAGCGGGGCACUGGGCCUGUCCUGACGCUGAGACGCGAAAGCGUAGGUAGCAAACGGGAUUAGAAACCCCAGUAGUCC